ACAUCGUUGGUUAUUACAGAGUUGGAUUUGUGUUGAUUUAAGAGAGAAAAGUGAGAGAAUGAGGUGACAGAAAGAGAAGAGAAGAGUGAGAGAAUGAGGUGACAGAAAGAGAAGAGUGAGAGAAUGAGGUGACAGAAAGAGAAGAGGGAGAGAAUGAGGUGACAGAAAGAGAAGAGGGAGAGAAUGAGGUGACAGAAAGAGAAGAGGGAGAGAAUGAGGUGACAGAAAGAGAAGAGGGAGAGAAUGAGGUGGCAGAAAGAGAAGAGGGAGAGAAUGAGGUGACAGACAGAGAAGAGGGAGAGAAUGAGGUGGCAGAAAGAGAAGAGGGAGAGAAUGAGGUGACAGACAGAGAAGAGGGAGAGAAUGAGGUGACAGACAGAGAAGAGGGAGAGAAUGAGGUGACAGAAAGAGAAGAGGGAGAGAAUGAGGUGACAGAAAGAGAGAGGGAGAGAAUGAGGUGACAGAAAGAGAAGAGGGAGAGAAUGAGGUGACAGAAAGAGAAGAGAAGAGAAUGAGGUGACAGACAGAGAGAGGGAGAGAAUGAGGUGACAGAAAGAAAAGAGUGAGAGAAGAAAAAUAUUUCAAGACAUGAGAGCAAAGCCAGCGCUGCAUGUUUCAUAUUCGUUUAGUUGAUUUUCAUUUCCUCCUCUCACCUCUCUCUCCUCAACCCCUCUCUCCUCAACCCCUCU
Long non-coding RNA from Oncorhynchus tshawytscha (Chinook salmon), 689 nucleotides. The record is from Ensembl. Lineage: Eukaryota; Metazoa; Chordata; Actinopteri; Salmoniformes; Salmonidae.